RNAcentral lists this microRNA (18 nucleotides) under Prunus persica (peach). RNAcentral's name for it is "microRNA miRNA_333". The record is from RNAcentral. Lineage: Eukaryota; Viridiplantae; Streptophyta; Magnoliopsida; Rosales; Rosaceae.
AAUGUUGUCUGGCUCGAG